CAGUCGAGCGGACAGAAGGGAGCUUGCUCCCGGAUGUUAGCGGCGGACGGGUGAGUAACACGUGGGUAACCUGCCUGUAAGACUGGGAUAACUCCGGGAAACCGGAGCUAAUACCGGAUAGUUCCUUGAACCGCAUGGUUCAAGGAUGAAAGACGGUUUCGGCUGUCACUUACAGAUGGACCCGCGGCGCAUUAGCUAGUUGGUGGGGUAAUGGCUCACCAAGGCGACGAUGCGUAGCCGACCUGAGAGGGUGAUCGGCCACACUGGGACUGAGACACGGCCCAGACUCCUACGGGAGGCAGCAGUAGGGAAUCUUCCGCAAUGGACGAAAGUCUGACGGAGCAACGCCGCGUGAGUGAUGAAGGUUUUCGGAUCGUAAAGCUCUGUUGUUAGGGAAGAACAAGUGCGAGAGUAACUGCUCGCACCUUGACGGUACCUAACCAGAAAGCCACGGCUAACUACGUGCCAGCAGCCGCGGUAAUACGUAGGUGGCAAGCGUUGUCCGGAAUUAUUGGGCGUAAAGGGCUCGCAGGCGGUUUCUUAAGUCUGAUGUGAAAGCCCCCGGCUCAACCGGGGAGGGUCAUUGGAAACUGGGAAACUUGAGUGCAGAAGAGGAGAGUGGAAUUCCACGUGUAGCGGUGAAAUGCGUAGAGAUGUGGAGGAACACCAGUGGCGAAGGCGACUCUCUGGUCUGUAACUGACGCUGAGGAGCGAA
Molecule: ribosomal RNA, 715 nt
Filed under: Bacillus safensis
Lineage: Bacteria; Bacillati; Bacillota; Bacilli; Caryophanales; Bacillaceae
Description: bacterial SSU rRNA
Rfam family: Bacterial small subunit ribosomal RNA
Source: RNAcentral